UUGUUGAGUUUUAUCCUAGCUCUGCGUGAAUGUUAUCAAAAUAUAUAAAAUAUGCUAGUAAAACAAAGCUUUUUUUUGUUUGCUUGUAGGAGAGUAAAACAAAAAAACUUUGUGCCUUCCGAAAUGGUUUUUCUAUACUUUUCGUAAUAGUUAAAAACUUGUAAAAAUUAAGUUUAUAAAGGCUGUAUUUUUUGUAAGAUUAGAUGUUCGUAAGCUGCAAUUUACGGAAUCAAUAAUCUUUAACGAAUUCACACGAUUAAAUCGUCUCAUUAGUUGUUAAAUAAAACUAAAUUUUUUAAAAUCGCAGUUAAGAAUAUUGAACAAUGAAAAUCCUUUCGAUUCAGUAAUUUUGAAUUUUUGUUUCUUGCCUGUUGGUAUAAAUUUCAUAGGUAAAUUAAAUAAUGAUUUGUAUUUCCCUUAAAAAUACUAACAAAUUAUGUGCCAGAAGUUUCGGUAAUACAUAAAGUAUUAACAUUACGUUUCGUUAUUUGGUGUAAAAUGCGCGUAGACUAAAAGAAAUUAUAUUUUAUCCAAUUUUAAAAGCUUUUAAAAUAUAACAAUUUCGUUUCUUUUUUUGAGUAAUCUUAAAAGUGAGUAGAAUAGUAUGAGUAAAGAUAAAAUUUUUUGAAACAUUACUAGAAUAUCAUAAGCUAAAGUUGCGCACUAAGAUAAUUUUAAUUUUAUUCGAUUAACACUGACGUUUUUAUGUGCGAAAGUUUAAGUAGCAAAAAGGAUUUGUAACCCUUGUAGUUUAAACCGUCAACAAUGAUUAUAAAAACGUAUAAUAAUAGUAAAAUUAACAUAAAAAUAAUCUACCUGAAAAGUAUUUUCGCAAGAAUGAAACUUAAAGGAUUUGGCGUCUGGAAGAACCAUUUGUGGAUUGUGUUGCUUAAUUCGAUAAUACGCGCAAAACUUACCAAUUUUUGAAUGUUAGUAUGUUUAAGAAAAUUUUCUUGUCUUUUCACUAAAUACAAAUGUUGCAUGGUUGUCGUCAGCUCUUAUUUCGCGAUGUUUGAUUAAUUUCAACAAAGAGCGUAAUACUUUUUAUUCUGUUUAUAGUAAUUUCUGGUUUUAAAUUACAAAUCUAGUAAAAUUGCUUGUAAAAAACAAGCUAAAAGCGAGUAAUACGUCUAAAUCUUUAUGGCUUAAACAAAUUGGGCUGCAAAAUGCGAUACAUUGGAAGAAUUACAAAAAGAAGUUAUGUUUAAAAAAAAGAACUAAUCUUUAAAAUCUUCCGCGUUCGGAUUAUUCUUUGAAACCUAGUUAUAUGAAGUAGGAAUAAAUAGUAAUGAUAAUUAGUUUGUUAUCGUGAAAAUAAAAACUUCUAGUGUACAUAUUGCCCGUCAUUUCGUGAAAAGAGAUUUCCAUUGUAUAAUAGGUAAAAAAACUUCUAUUUAAUGCUUUUUUUAUAAGGUUUUCUUUUAUUUUUAAAAAUGCAUGUUUCUAAUUGUGAAGAAGUCGUAACAAAGUAGUGGUACAGGAAUGUGCUGCUGGAACA
RNAcentral lists this ribosomal RNA (1498 nucleotides) under Prymnesium parvum. RNAcentral describes it as "Bacterial small subunit ribosomal RNA". It matches the Rfam family "Bacterial small subunit ribosomal RNA". The record is from RNAcentral. Lineage: Eukaryota; Haptophyta; Prymnesiales; Prymnesiaceae.